Molecule: long non-coding RNA, 1680 nt
Filed under: Eucalyptus grandis
Lineage: Eukaryota; Viridiplantae; Streptophyta; Magnoliopsida; Myrtales; Myrtaceae
Description: long non-coding RNA (EGRA_LNC006963)
Source: RNAcentral
GAAACGAAGACAAAUAUCGUCUGAACUCGACCGUACGAAGAGGACAAAGAUGAGCUGGCCCGCCUGCCACGUGUACCAGACCUGGACCAGGCAACUUCUGAGAAAUUUGGUAUGAUUAUUUCAGAGCUCCAAAACUUAAAUUAUAUCGACAAGGGCCUGUUAGGUCAUCCACCGUGACUCACGAGGGACGAAAUUUCCCGACGACUUCUCUCCCUUAUCUUUUCUUUUUCAUCAUUUUGUCCACAUUCAGAGAGUUCAGUACUUAUAUUGGUCACAACGCACCCGCACACCCCCUGCUUUGUUUAUAGUGUAUCCAUGCAUACGGCUGAACUGUACCUUGUCCUGACUUGAUGACACUUUCGUACCGCGUGCCGAUGUUUACAGCGAUACUCAUCACCAACUCGCGGAUCAACCUCAUCGUUUGCAUUAAAUAAUCGAAUUAGCGAACGGCUGGGGCCUGCAGGCAGACGUAUGACUUGUUGCAAGAAUUGACAGACAAAUCAUUUUAAGGAUUUGUUUGGCAACUUGCUAAACAGUAAAAAUUUCUCCUUUUGUUUCAAGAAAUAUAUUUGAAUCCAUUUGAUAAAUUUUUUAUUCCCGAGAAUAGAUUUAGAGUAAAAUCGAGAAGCAAAAAAAUGUUGAUUCUUUGUUCCUGAGAACAAUUCCAGAAUCAAACGAACUUAUUUUUAUAUUCUCUUCUUUCUUCUUGUUCUUAUUCCCUCUCUUCUUCUUCUUCAACCGCCGCCGCCCACAGCCACUGGUCGCCGGCGACCGGUCCGAUGAGCUCGUUGGAGGCUCGCCAAGUCAGGGCGAGGUCCAGUGAGCUCGCCUAUGGCCAAGCAGGCCUCUCUCGCCACCGGCGAGACUUGCCUGAUCAGGCAAGCUUGGCCUCGCCAACACCAGAGGCUCGCCAAGCCAGGGCGAGAUCCAGCAAGCUCACUGGUGGCCAAGCGAGCCUCCCUUGGCCACCAGCGAGGCUUUGCCUAACCGAGUGAAGCUCGCCCAAACCCAGGGAGGCUCAACCUCGCCUAGAUUUAGCAAGGCCGAGCAUGCCUAGCCAUGACUUGGUCAAGCCUCACCCAACUGCCGGCGAGACUCGAUCGACGAGACACGACCUCGACAAAGGCUGACGAUGCUCCGAUGAGGUCGCCAGCCCUCGUUUGGCCGGUCGCUGAUCAUCCCAAGGCCGACAAUUGGCAACCUUGAAGAAGAAUAAGAGAAAUAAAGGAAAAAAAAAAAAGAAAAGAAGAAAAAAGAAAAAAAGAAAAAAUAAAUAAAAUUAUUUAAAAAUUAAAAGAAAAUGAUUUGAAAUAUAAAUUUUAAGAACGGUGCCAAACGCAAUUCUAUUCCGGGAAUUGAAAUUUUUAACGGUUACCAAACGGCUUAAAAUACUUAUAAAUUGUUCCCAAAAAUAUAAGCGUUACCAAGUACUCACCAAUGGAUAUAAUGCUGAAAGGGGAAGAAACUCUUCAAUUCGAAUAUGAUUCCACCAUGUCUCUCUUGUCCGUCCCCAGAUUCCCUCUUUUGUCCAGGCCUCAAGUAUUUGGGUCCCCCAGAUUCCCUCUUUUGUCCAGGCCUGAAGUAUUUGGGAGCUAUCAGCUCAGAAAGGGCACUAGGCGCGGAUCUGUGAGGUACGGGAGACUAGUUCGAGCUCCCAAAGCUCGACAAUUUGCAGCAGCC